Cyprinus carpio carpio is the source of this 5640-nucleotide long non-coding RNA. The record is from Ensembl. Lineage: Eukaryota; Metazoa; Chordata; Actinopteri; Cypriniformes; Cyprinidae.
AUGAAAGCAGUGCUGUGUGUUAACGGGAAAUCCUAUGACCUAACAUCAACAACUGGAAAGGUCCAGACUUCUGAGAUCUAUGCACUGCCGUCCAACCAGGAGGAGACAGACAGCCACAUUGUCCUGUACCUCCACCAGGCUGUCAAAUGGGGGUACAAGUCCUGUGUGGUGAGGACGCCUGACACAGACAUUCUGAUGAUCCUCCUCUACCAUGCCAGCAAGAUCAACCUCUCAAUCUACCUUGACCAUGGCUCUGGCAAACAUCGCAUACUCAUUAAUGGGACAGAACUGUCUGAAUCACUGGGCCCUGACUACUGUAGCACUCUGCUGGGAUUCUAUGUCUUUACUGGGGAGGACUGUACCAGCACUUUUAAAGGCAAAGGAAAGGUGAAUCCCCUGAAGAAGCUACAGCAGAAUCCUAAACUCCACAAUGCUUUCAGGCAGCUUGGUACAGACUGGCUGGUCACAGAUGAGCUUCAACAGGAGAUUGAGAGCUUCACGUGCAUCAUGUAUGGCCAAGCAUGGAUGACAUCAGUUGACACAGUACGAGCCAAGAUGCUGAGAAAAAUGGCCGGUGCUGAUAAAGUCCUGGAAUCAAAAUUAAAAGUAGACCUGGAACGCCUGCCACCCCCCAAAGUCUGUCUCAUCCCACAUGUACAGAGAGCCAACUACAGAGUUGCCUGCUAUAAGAGAGCAGACGAGGCAAUAAUCGAGAGCCCCAAACCAUAUGAUCCAGGCAUGGGCUGGGAGAAGACAGGAGAGGAGGAGGUGUUGGAACCUGUUUGGACAAUUGGACCCAUUCUCCCUCCUUCUCUUCUUGAGGUACUGGCUCAGAGAGCAGAGUCAGAAGAGCAGCCAGCUGGUUCCAACUACAACAACUUGUCUGUGGGUGAAGAGGAUGGAGAGUAUGAACAUAAUGAUGAGGAUGAAGUGCUGGUAGAAAUAGACUUAGAAGAUCUCUUCAGUGAUGAUGAGUAGUUUAGGUCAACUUUUAUUAUUUAUUAUUUUUUGGCCAUAAAUAAAAAAAAAAAAAAACAGUCAAUAUGUUGUCAAAUGUCAAAAAUAACCAUUCCAUUAAAUUUCUGGGGUCAGAAUUGUAUUGAAAAAUGUGUCCAUUUGUCUCUGUGAGUUGUUUACAUCAAAAGUUAUGCCACUUUAUAUCAUAUUUAGAUUUUUCGGGUUUGGUGCAAAGGGUUAAAAAUAAAGCAUUUUGGACAUUAUUUCAGCUUGGUACCCAAUUUAAUCUUAAAAUAGACACUUGAAUGAUAAAGAAAUAACAGGUUGUGGGAAAAAAAAUGACCCUAUGUGCUUGAGAAAACGAAAAAAUAGUUGAUCCUCUACACAUCUUUGGCCAUUUUUUGCUAUUUUUGUCCAGGAAUAAGGUCAAUAUGUUGUCAAAUGUCAAAAAUAACCAUUCCAUUAAAUUCCUGGGGUCAGAAUUGUAUGUGAAAAUGUGUUCAUUUGUCUCUGUAUGUUGUUUACUUCUAAUGUUAUGCCACUUUCUAUAUAAUUUUUUGAUUUUUCGGGUUCCGGUCGGGUGCAGCAAAGGGUUACUAAAGAACCCUUUGGGACAUUAUUUCAGCUUGGUACCUGGCAGAUUCUGAAAAUAGACACUUUAAGGAUUUUAAAAAAUCAGGUGGGAUAAAAAAGCCGGGGGGUGUGCGUGGACCCCUAUUUCCAUUUAGACCACAUCUGAUUCAUUCGAAUACACUGAAUCAUUCAGGAACAGACAUCACUGUGUUUGCAGAGAUGCAAAUGUUCUGCUGUGAUUCUGUUUGGAACUGUUUUCACUGGUGUAAUAGAGCAACGGUCAGUAUUUACAAUAUUGUGUCUAAAACCACACUUAAUAUUAACUUAAUUAGCCUUUAAAAAAAUAAUUUACUAUUUAGAUAAAAUCUAAAAGUGUCAAAUAAAUGUCUGACUCAAGGCUGUGUCAGUAGGAGGACAUGGUAUUUUAAACUCUGACAAAACUGGACAGAUGGCCACCCUACAGUAGGUUGGCAUUAUGUACUGUUAGUGCAUACAAGCCCUGAAUCUAAACUUUUUUCUUCCGGUUUUAUUCCAAAAUCUGCUACACUCAGGAACCUUUAAAGAAACAAAAAGAGGGGUAUGACUCACUCUCUGGAUUAAGUUUCCAUCAUGAUUCAUUCAUAUCAGAAUUCAGGGUAUGGCAUAAGAGCACAGUGUCAGUAUGCUUCCUUUUUUCUGCCUUUAUUUAUUCCUGUUUACUUGCUGACUUGCUCAUUCAAUUUCUCACUCCCCCUCUCCAGCAGGGUUAAGAGCAUUGAACCGUACACAUUCAUAACACAAAUAUGCUAAAUGUUAAAUGAAUAUCCAGUUUGUUGCAAAGCCUGAAAUAGAAAGCUCAGAACAAAAUACAAACCCAUCCAGAGGGCCUGCUCUUUGUCUCUCUCGCACAUGCGCGCGCGCACACACACACACACACACACACAGAGCCCCUGUGGGAUCCCCAGUCAGACAAACAAUGAUAAAGUAGUGCUCUUAUGUCUUUGACACUCUGAGGAGAUGCAGACCUCAAAACGCCUAAGUAAUAAACGCUGUCUGACUGCCACACACCCCGUGUACACAGAUAUCAAAUGUAAUGUUAGUGAUGGCUCAGUGUGUUUCUCAAAGAAUAUUGUUUAUUAAGGUAUCACAUGUUUUCCCCAGUGCCAUUGGAAAGGGUCAGCGUAAGCUGAAAUCAAGUAAAUGGGCCACUUUUGUCACUGAGAUGAAGUGUCCAGAAUGCACCCUAAUACUAACCCUCAAAUAUGAACCGUUUUGACAUCUGAGGUCACCGCUGGAAAAGACAACCCAUGGUCCAGAUGACCAAUCUUUCUUAUCUGACCAUAAUAAAACAACUGGGUUUCAUCUGGGUCGAGGCCUCCGAAGUAAAAGGGCACAUGAGGAGAGCCAAAAGUUUGAUUGUGAGCGAGACCCGCGAAAGAACCUAAGGGAGAAUGGAUGAGUGGAUGGGUGGGGGUGCGGUUGCCGAAAGGUCAAGCAUGUAAUAUAAGAGCAGGAUCUCGGCCGUCUCCGUCAGACAAUAGCCUCCCGCAGCAGACACUCUGCUCUUCUCUCUCUUCUCUUAAUUACAGUCAUAUCACCCCUCUGCUGCCGCCUGUCCUUAACAUAUUCCUCUUUAUUUGGAGUCCUUUUUUCUCAGCUAAUGGAAUGUCAGCUCUCUGCUAUUCCCUCUCUUCAUCUCACGCCGAUCAAAGUGACCUCUGCCUCUCUGCCGGUGUGCAAAUCAAUACGCGCACUGACAGAAAACCACACAAUAUAUAAUAAAUGACAAUCUGCGCACGCACGCACACAGGCCAUCCCGUGGCAUAUCUGACAAAAGCCUUUCAUAGCAGUCAUUCUGGCACAAUGGCAGUGAGUUAUGUUUAAAGGAGGACUGGCGGAGCGCUCGGCUCUGCGCAGGUGUGGAUAUUACAGGGCAGGGUGGGUUUAAAGCAUCUCUCCUCGAUGUGUAAGAACGCCCGUCCCAGCCCGGGGCUGACAGCACCAAUGCCAUUACAGGUGUAGCUGUUUAUUGUGGUUGUCUUGCUGGGAGAGGUUCUAUCCAAAGCAAUUUUCCUCUUAAGGGGGCAAAUUGCUGGCGGAAAAUUGUAUGUGCUGUCGCUCAGCCAUGAUUGGCAGGGAGGCCGAGUUUGGCAACAGCGAAUAAAGGAGAAUGAAAGGAUUUCAUACUCGGAGCCGAGAGCGAGUGAGCGAGGGAGGGACGGAUGGAAGGAGGAAUGAGAAAAAGCACAGUGCAUAUUAAAAUGUGUUGUGAAAAACGAGUGUGAAAUUUCACACAAUUCUGAAAACGACUGCUGUUCUUCCAGGUGGAGAGAGAGAAGCCAGGUGUUUGUGAAGACCUCAUAGAACAAGUAAAUCUCUCUCUCUAUCUUCUUCCUCUCUCUUUUUUUUCCAUCAGUGUGCGCUAGCUUUGUAAAGGAUCAGGAGGAUUUGUAACAGCUGGCAUUCUUCCAGUCACUUGAAACAGAGUGAGUGUGGGGGGGGGGUAGUGAAUUGAUGGAGAGAACGACAGACGCUUGCAUUCUGCAAACUUUGAUAGUAGUUAUUACCUACAGCCACUCUUGGAGAAAUAAAGGAGUGAAGUGCUGUGAACUUAAGUUGACUAAACUCUUUAGUUUUUGUUUCUAUCAAAGCCUCUAUGAGUAUUCUGUCUGUUUUUUUUUUCUGCUAUUAAACAAAUAUGAAACACUCUUUGAUCCUUCCUCCCUUUAUUCCUGAACAAUACUUUUAUUCUUUUAUUCAUUCUUUUCCUUUUUUCCUUUCCAGUCUUUUCUCUUUCCAACUUCCUUGCCUCUUGACUUUUUCCUUUUCCUAUCCAUGCUUCUGUUUGCUUUCCUUCCUUCCUUACUGUCCAUACGUCUUUCUUUCUCUCUCUCUCUCAUUUCUCUCCUGCUCUAUCUCUCCCUCCCUCUGCAGAUGGCAGUUUCAGCCUCAUCCAUUAACUGUUAUUGUUUUUCCUGAACAUGACAUUGAUUCAAUUUAACACCAAUCAAUUUCAAACGCUUCUGACAUUCAGAUCUGACCUUAAGGCAAACGACUCAUGAACUAUGAUCAGAAUUAAACUUUUGCUAACGAGGUGAUCUCUCAGCCUUGCCCAACAGCAAUGUUCGCUAAAAAUUAGAUCAAUUAUUAUAAGGCAAACAGACCCUAAGUUGAUUACCCUGCCCUCACUAAUUUGUGUAAUUAAUAACCAGCCCUGGACCAGAAUAAGAAGUUUAUUAAUCCAUAUCUACAAGCCGGUAAUGAAAUUGCAUGGGCAGGUCAUCCAUUCAGAUGGUAAUGUCAUAAUCAAUGCCGCCACACCAUACAUGUUAAUGAGCAUUGUUAUGAAUUGUUACAGUUAGAGGUGUGUGUGUGGCGAUGUCGGCCUCUUUGUGUUGUUAUGUAUGGCAAUCAGACGCGUGAAAAUGGCAAAUCUAAUUAGGAAUUCCGACUGGAGCGGCUGGGAACACUGAGAGCAGUAGACGGUAUCGGAGCUGACAGCUGCCAGCCGGAACGCCGAGUGUCGGAACAAAACCAGCGUUCUGCGCCACAACGGGAAUGACAGGAAAAAAGGAUGUAUCACAAACGAAUAAUUGCACUCUGCAUGGCCUCUUGCCAUAUAGCACAAUAGAACUGCCAGCACUGGAAGAAGAUGCUAUUGUGUGUGUACAAGCACUCUUUAUGAGUUUUACCUCUGAGUCGAGGGGAUAGACUCGUGUCAUCUGCAUGGCGAUGAGGUUCCUGCUCUCUGAUUCUGUCUUCCUCUGCAGGCCCUGGGUGGUCCUCCGCUUCUGCAUGCGAGAUACUGCACUGCAUUCAUCUGCUAAAUUAAUACAUGUAAAUUCACACGUGUAGUCUCAUACAGUUCAUAGGGAUCAUACAUAGAGGAUUCACACUAAUUCAUAACAUAAGGAGGAAUGUGUUUCCCUAAGUUAUGAUUUAGUCUGUCGUAAAGUUGUAGACAGGGGUCUUGAUGUUCUACCAGGAGAGACAUCUGCCACGUUGGAGCCUUUGGGUAUUUUUACAAUUGAAUUAAAUGUAAUAUAAACAUACAUAUACAUACAUUAAUAUUCAAAAGUUUGGAGUCUGUACAUUUUUAAAUGUUUUGAAAGAGGUUUUAAGAUGUCUUAU